Molecule: ribosomal RNA, 403 nt
Filed under: uncultured bacterium
Lineage: Bacteria
Description: bacterial SSU rRNA
Rfam family: Bacterial small subunit ribosomal RNA
Source: RNAcentral
UGAGGAAUAUUGCACAAUGGGCGCAAGCCUGAUGCAGCAACGCCGCGUGCGGGACGAAGGCCUUCGGGUCGUAAACCGCUUUUCUGGGGGAAGAGCAAGGACGGUACCUCAGGAAUAAGUCUCGGCUAACUACGUGCCAGCAGCCGCGGUAAAACGUAGGAGGCGAGCGUUAUCCGGAUUUACUGGGCGUAAAGCGCACGCAGGCGGCUCUGUUAGUCGGACGUGAAAGCUCUCGGCUUAACCGGGAGAGGCCGUUCGAUACUGCGGAGCUUGAGGUAGGGAGAGGAAUGCGGAAUUCCCGGUGUAGUGGUGGAAUGCGUAGAUAUCGGGAGGAACACCUGUGGCGAAAGCGGCAUUCCGGCCCUCACCUGACGCUGAGGUGCGAAAGCGUGGGUAGCAAACA